AGAGUUUGAUCCUGGCUCAGAUUGAACGCUGGCGGCAUGCCUUACACAUGCAAGUCGAACGGCAGCACGGGGGGUAACUCCUGGUGGCGAGUGGCGAACGGGUGAGUAAUAUAUCGGAACGUGUCCUGUAGCGGGGGGAUAACCUAUCGAAAGAUGGACUAAUACCGCAUACGCUCUACGGAGGAAAGCGGGGGUCCUUGGGCAACUGAGGACCUCGCAUUAUAGGAGCGGCCGAUAUCGGAUUAGCUAGUUGGCGGGGUAAAAGCCCACCAAGGCGACGAUCCGUAGCUGGUCUGAGAGGAUGAUCAGCCACACUGGAACUGAGACACGGUCCAGACUCCUACGGGAGGCAGCAGUGGGGAAUUUUGGACAAUGGGCGCAAGCCUGAUCCAGCCAUGCCGCGUGAGUGAAGAAGGCCUUCGGGUUGUAAAGCUCUUUCGGCAGGAACGAAAUGGUUCGUGCUAAUACCGCGGACUGAUGACGGUACCUGAAGAAGAAGCACCGGCUAACUACGUGCCAGCAGCCGCGGUAAUACGUAGGGUGCAGGCGUUAAUCGGAAUUACUGGGCGUAAAGCGUGCGCAGGCGGUUUCUUAAGUCAGAUGUGAAAGCCCCGGGCUUAACCUGGGAACUGCGUUUGAAACUGGGAGACUUGAGUGUGGCAGAGGGGGGGAAUUCCACGUGUAGCAGUGAAAUGCGUAGAUAUGUGGAGGAACACCGAUGGCGAAGGCAGCCCCCUGGGUUAACACUGACGCUCAUGCACGAAAGCGUGGGGAGCAAACAGGAUUAGAUACCCUAGUAGUCC
Molecule: ribosomal RNA, 803 nt
Filed under: uncultured bacterium
Lineage: Bacteria
Description: bacterial SSU rRNA
Rfam family: Bacterial small subunit ribosomal RNA
Source: RNAcentral